Molecule: long non-coding RNA, 208 nt
Filed under: Homo sapiens (human)
Lineage: Eukaryota; Metazoa; Chordata; Mammalia; Primates; Hominidae
Description: non-protein coding lnc-FASTKD3-5:1
Source: RNAcentral
CAGUGCAGCACUGUGGACCAGAGCCUGGACAUUAAUCUGAUGAAGAGGGACUUGCAGGAUGUUCAGAAGUUCAUUCUGAUGCGUGAGGUGGUGCAGCCAGUGAAUACAGUGCCCUCCUUCAUGAAAGACAAUAGUCACAUUUCCCAUCUGGCCAUUGAUAUUGUGCAGAGCAGAGACAUGCUUGUCCACACCGUCCGUUUGGCCACAA